AGCGAACGCUGGCGGCAGGCCUAACACAUGCAAGUCGAACGGAUCCUUCGGGAUUAGUGGCGGACGGGUGAGUAACACGUGGGAACGUGCCCUUUGGUUCGGAACAACCCAGGGAAACUUGAGCUAAUACCGGAUGUGCCCUUCGGGGGAAAGAUUUAUCGCCAUUGGAGCGGCCCGCGUCUGAUUAGCUAGUUGGUGAGGUAACGGCCCACCAAGGCGACGAUCAGUAGCUGGUCUGAGAGGAUGAUCAGCCACACUGGGACUGAGACACGGCCCAGACUCCUACGGGAGGCAGCAGUGGGGAAUCUUGCGCAAUGGGCGAAAGCCUGACGCAGCCAUGCCGCGUGAAUGAUGAAGGUCUUAGGAUUGUAAAAUUCUUUCAGCGGGGACGAUAAUGACGGUACCCGCAGAAGAAGCUCCGGCUAACUUCGU
This 432-nucleotide ribosomal RNA is filed under the name uncultured bacterium. RNAcentral describes it as "partial 16S ribosomal RNA". It matches the Rfam family "Bacterial small subunit ribosomal RNA", at positions 29 to 506 of the family's 1533-position model. The record is from RNAcentral.